RNAcentral lists this small nuclear RNA (164 nucleotides) under Castor canadensis (American beaver). RNAcentral describes it as "U1 spliceosomal RNA (ENSCCNG00000006877.1)". It matches the Rfam family "U1 spliceosomal RNA". From Rfam's summary of the family: U1 is a small nuclear RNA (snRNA) component of the spliceosome (involved in pre-mRNA splicing). Its 5' end forms complementary base pairs with the 5' splice junction, thus defining the 5' donor site of an intron. Lineage: Eukaryota; Metazoa; Chordata; Mammalia; Rodentia; Castoridae. The record is from Rfam by way of RNAcentral.
AUACUUAUCUGGCAGGGGAGAUACCAUGAUCAUGAAGCUGGUUUUCCCAGGGCAAAGCUUAUCCAUUGCACUCCAGAUGUGCUGACUUGUGAGAUUUCCCCAAAUGUGGGAAACUCGACUGCAUAAUUUGUGUUAGUGGUGGACUGUGUUCGUGCUCUCACCUG